AUUGAACGCUGGCGGCAGGCCUAACACAUGCAAGUCGAGCGGUAGCACAGAGAGCUUGCUCUCGGGUGACGAGCGGCGGACGGGUGAGUAAUGUCUGGGAAACUGCCUGAUGGAGGGGGAUAACUACUGGAAACGGUAGCUAAUACCGCAUAACGUCGCAAGACCAAAGUGGGGGACCUUCGGGCCUCAUGCCAUCAGAUGUGCCCAGAUGGGAUUAGCUAGUAGGUGGGGUAACGGCUCACCUAGGCGACGAUCCCUAGCUGGUCUGAGAGGAUGACCAGCCACACUGGAACUGAGACACGGUCCAGACUCCUACGGGAGGCAGCAGUGGGGAAUAUUGCACAAUGGGCGCAAGCCUGAUGCAGCCAUGCCGCGUGUGUGAAGAAGGCCUUCGGGUUGUAAAGCACUUUCAGCGGGGAGGAAGGCGGUGAGGUUAAUAACCUCACCGAUUGACGUUACCCGCAGAAGAAGCACCGGCUAACUCCGUGCCAGCAGCCGCGGUAAUACGGAGGGUGCAAGCGUUAAUCGGAAUUACUGGGCGUAAAGCGCACGCAGGCGGUCUGUCAAGUCGGAUGUGAAAUCCCCGGGCUCAACCUGGGAACUGCAUUCGAAACUGGCAGGCUAGAGUCUUGUAGAGGGGGGUAGAAUUCCAGGUGUAGCGGUGAAAUGCGUAGAGAUCUGGAGGAAUACCGGUGGCGAAGGCGGCCCCCUGGACAAAGACUGACGCUCAGGUGCGAAAGCGUGGGGAGCAAACAGGAUUAGAUACCCUGGUAGUCCACGCUGUAAACGAUGUCGAUUUGGAGGUUGUGCCCUUGAGGCGUGGCUUCCGGAGCUAACGCGUUAAAUCGACCGCCUGGGGAGUACGGCCGCAAGGUUAAAACUCAAAUGAAUUGACGGGGGCCCGCACAAGCGGUGGAGCAUGUGGUUUAAUUCGAUGCAACGCGAAGAACCUUACCUGGUCUUGACAUCCACAGAACUUUCCAGAGAUGGAUUGGUGCCUUCGGGAACUGUGAGACAGGUGCUGCAUGGCUGUCGUCAGCUCGUGUUGUGAAAUGUUGGGUUAAGUCCCGCAACGAGCGCAACCCUUAUCCUUUGUUGCCAGCGGUCAGGCCGGGAACUCAAAGGAGACUGCCAGUGAUAAACUGGAGGAAGGUGGGGAUGACGUCAAGUCAUCAUGGCCCUUACGACCAGGGCUACACACGUGCUACAAUGGCAUAUACAAAGAGAAGCGACCUCGCGAGAGCAAGCGGACCUCAUAAAGUAUGUCGUAGUCCGGAUUGGAGUCUGCAACUCGACUCCAUGAAGUCGGAAUCGCUAGUAAUCGUAGAUCAGAAUGCUACGGUGAAUACGUUCCCGGGCCUUGUACACACCGCCCGUCACACCAUGGGAGUGGGUUGCAAAAGAAGUAGGUAGCUUAACCUUCGGGAGGGCGCUUACCACUUUGUGAUUCAUGACUGGGG
Molecule: ribosomal RNA, 1460 nt
Filed under: Klebsiella sp. HaNA11
Lineage: Bacteria; Pseudomonadati; Pseudomonadota; Gammaproteobacteria; Enterobacterales; Enterobacteriaceae
Description: bacterial SSU rRNA
Rfam family: Bacterial small subunit ribosomal RNA
Source: RNAcentral